This 253-nucleotide ribosomal RNA is filed under the name uncultured bacterium. RNAcentral's name for it is "partial 16S ribosomal RNA". It matches the Rfam family "Bacterial small subunit ribosomal RNA", at positions 524 to 776 of the family's 1533-position model. The record is from RNAcentral.
UACGUAGGGUGCAAGCGUUGUCCGGAAUCAUUGGGCGUAAAGGGCGCGUAGGCGGCCCGGUAAGUCAAAGGUGAAAUCCCUCGGCUCAACUGAGGAACUGCCUUUGAAACUGUCGGGCUUGAGGCCGGGAGGGGGUGGCGGAAUUCCCAGUGUAGCGGUGAAAUGCGUAGAUAUUGGGAGGAACACCAGUGGCGAAGGCGGCCACCUGGACCGGUUCUGACGCUGAUGCGCGAAAGCGUGGGUAGCAAACAGG